GUGGGGAAUCUUCCGCAAUGGGCGAAAGCCUGACGGAGCAACGCCGCGUGAGUGAAGAAGGCCUUCGGGUCGUAAAGCUCUGUCUUCAGGGACGAAAAGGCAGGGGAGUAAUAUGCCCUUGUUGUGACGGUACCUGAGGAGGAAGCUCCGGCUAACUACGUGCCAGCAGCCGCGGUAAUAAGUAGGGAGCGAGCGUUGGCCGGAAUUACUGGGCGUAAAGGGCGCGUAGGCGGGAAUUUAAGUAAGGUGUGAAAACUCCGGGCUCAACCUGGAGACUGCACUUUAAACUGGAUUUCUUGAGGGCAGGAGAGGAAAGUGGAAUUCCUAGUGUAGCGGUGAAAUGCGUAGAUAUUAGGAGGAACACCAGUGGCGAAGGCGACUUUCUGGACUGUACCUGACGCUGAGGCGCGAAAGCGUGGGGAGCGAACAGGAUUAGAUACCCUGGUAGUCC
RNAcentral lists this ribosomal RNA (451 nucleotides) under uncultured bacterium. RNAcentral describes it as "partial 16S ribosomal RNA". It matches the Rfam family "Bacterial small subunit ribosomal RNA", at positions 354 to 796 of the family's 1533-position model. The record is from RNAcentral.